GACGAACGCUGGCGGCGUGCCUAAUACAUGCAGGUAGAACGCUGAAGGAGGAGCUUGCUCUUCUGGAUGAGUUGCGAACGGGUGAGUAACGCGUAGGUAACCUGCCUGGUAGCGGGGGAUAACUAUUGGAAACGAUAGCUAAUACCGCAUAACAGUAGAUGUUGCAUGACAUUUACUUAAAAGGUGCAAUUGCAUCACUACCAGAUGGACCUGCGUUGUAUUAGCUAGUUGGUGGGGUAACGGCUCACCAAGGCGACGAUACAUAGCCGACCUGAGAAGGUGAUCGGCCACACUGGGACUGAGACACGGCCCAGACUCCUACGGGAGGCAGCAGUAGGGAAUCUUCGGCAAUGGACGGAAGUCUGACCGAGCAACGCCGCGUGAGUGAAGAAGGGUUUCGGAUCGUAAAGCUCUGUUGUAAGGGAAGAACGAGUGUGAGAGUGGAAAGUUCACACUGUGACGGUAUCUUACCAGAAAGGGACGGCUAACUACGUG
RNAcentral lists this ribosomal RNA (495 nucleotides) under uncultured bacterium. RNAcentral's name for it is "partial 16S ribosomal RNA". It matches the Rfam family "Bacterial small subunit ribosomal RNA", at positions 28 to 507 of the family's 1533-position model. The record is from RNAcentral.